Molecule: long non-coding RNA, 724 nt
Organism: Spodoptera frugiperda (fall armyworm)
Lineage: Eukaryota; Metazoa; Arthropoda; Insecta; Lepidoptera; Noctuidae
Exons: 2
Source: RefSeq, a predicted model, not a curated record
UGCGAAAUCACCUGGACUUUCUAUAAAUAAGAACCUUCAAGAAACUACGAGAAAUAUCUAAGAUGAUUAACCUAUUUCUUUGAUGGCAUCGACACAAUUAUAAAGAAGGCCAGCCAAUACUACAAUCCGAUUAAUUAUGUGUAGAAACAAUAAUCUGAUAACACAUUUCGCAUUAGUAUAAAUACAAGGAGUAGCUGCCGUAAUAUCAUAACACAAUCAAGUGAUACUAACAAGUCUACUUGUGCUCAAGUGAAAUUUGCUUGAAACAAUUCAUUUAUUUUUAAAUUAUUUCCUCAAACUAUCAAUCAAAAAUGCAGCGCAACCCAGCUUUCCCCUCCGCCAUGAGCUCCGGCUACAAGAGCUUCUCGCCCAGCCCCUGCUUCGGGCCCCCCAGAAACCAGUACAGCGCUGGAAGCUACGCGCAGCCGACACAACCCUUCCAGCCCAACAACUGCUUCAUGACUGCAUCAGUGAUCCGGAAAAUGAGCAACACCACGCCCCCCAGUGGUUUCGGCAGAAAUUACUAAGUCUGUGGAAUAUUGCACACAUUUUACCUGGAAUCUCGAGUAAUUCGUUUCGGUUACCGUUUACUGCUAAUUUAGGUUAAGCAAUCUCACAUUAGUUAUUUAUUUAAUAAGUUUAAACGUGUUAAAGAGUAUGUGAAUUUAAAAGAAAAUGUAUUGUUAUAUUUUAAAAGAAUAAAAUAAAUUAUUGAAGAAAAUAA